UCUGCCCUUGAGAGGGGGAUAACAGUCGGAAACGACUGCUAAUACCGCAUAAUCUGGCGAGGCCUCAUGGUCAUGCCAGCAAAGGUGGCCUCUGAAUAUGCUACCACUUAAGGAUGAGCCCGCGUCUGAUUAGCUAGUAGGUGGGGUAACGGCCUACCUAGGCAACGAUCAGUAGCCGGCCUGAGAGGGUGUACGGCCACACUGGAACUGAGACACGGUCCAGACUCCUACGGGAGGCAGCAGUGGGGAAUAUUGCGCAAUGGGGGAAACCCUGACGCAGCGACGCCGCGUGAGCGACGAAGGCCUUCGGGUUGUAAAGCUCUGUUCUAAGGGACGAAUGACUCUAUCGUUAAUAAUGGUAGAGAAUGACGGUACCUUAGGAGAAAGCCCCGGCUAACUACGUGCCAGCAGCCGCGGUAACACGUAGGGGGCAAGCGUUGUCCGGAAUUACUGGGCGUAAAGAGCGUGUAGGCGGGUAUUUAAGUCAGGUGUGAAAGACCGGGGCUCAACUCCGGGGUUGCACUUGAAACUGGGUAUCUUGAGGGCAGGAGAGGAAAGCGGAAUUCCUGGUGUAGCGGUGAAAUGCGUAAAUAUCACGAGGAACACCGGUGGCGAAGGCGGCUUUCUG
RNAcentral lists this ribosomal RNA (628 nucleotides) under uncultured bacterium. RNAcentral describes it as "bacterial SSU rRNA". It matches the Rfam family "Bacterial small subunit ribosomal RNA", at positions 125 to 731 of the family's 1533-position model. The record is from RNAcentral.